Molecule: ribosomal RNA, 427 nt
Filed under: Shewanella amazonensis
Lineage: Bacteria; Pseudomonadati; Pseudomonadota; Gammaproteobacteria; Alteromonadales; Shewanellaceae
Also listed under: 1 other name
Description: bacterial SSU rRNA
Rfam family: Bacterial small subunit ribosomal RNA
Source: RNAcentral
AGUGGGGAAUAUUGGACAAUGGGCGAAAGCCUGAUCCAGCCAUGCCGCGUGUGUGAAGAAGGCCUUCGGGUUGUAAAGCACUUUCAGUGGGGAGGAAAGGUUGAUGGUUAAUAGCCAUUAGCUGUGACGUUACCCACAGAAGAAGCACCGGCUAACUCCGUGCCAGCAGCCGCGGUAAUACGGAGGGUGCAAGCGUUAAUCGGAAUUACUGGGCGUAAAGCGUGCGCAGGCGGUCUGUUAAGCGAGAUGUGAAAGCCCCGGGCUCAACCUGGGAACUGCAUUUCGAACUGACAGACUAGAGUCUUGUAGAGGGGGGUAGAAUUCCAGGUGUAGCGGUGAAAUGCGUAGAGAUCUGGAGGAAUACCGGUGGCGAAGGCGGCCCCCUGGACAAAGACUGACGCUCAUGCACGAAAGCGUGGGGAGCAAA